This 140-nucleotide transfer RNA is filed under the name Bacillus spizizenii. Its description in RNAcentral is "tRNA-OTHER". The record is from RNAcentral. Lineage: Bacteria; Bacillati; Bacillota; Bacilli; Caryophanales; Bacillaceae.
ACGGUAGUAGCGAAGCUGGCCGAACGUACCCCGACGAGCGGGGAUGGAGCAAAUACAAAACCAUAGUGCUAGGUCGUGAUCAGACUAUUGGCGCCCUUUGGGAAUAACUCCACACGCAGGUUCAAAUCCUGCCUACCGUG